GAUGCGCGGCCCCGCGCCGCUGUGCACCCUGGCGCGUGUGCGACGUGCGGGCCGCGGCGCCCUCCCUCGCUCGGGGCCGGCCGCUUCCGCGCGCUGCCGCCCCGGUCUCCACCUCCCGCUCCUCCCUCUCCUUCGCGCUCGCUCUUCUGGCCUGGAGGCCCGACGGAGGUCGCCGGGCUGGGGAAAGUGGCCACGGGUCCCGGCAGACCUGCUCGCCUGACUCCCGGGGCGCGGGGAGGUGCGGGCGCGGAGCCUCCCAAGGUCACGCCCGACUCUCCGUCUCUAGCCGCUGCCUUCCCUCUCCCCGUCCCCCGCCCCUCCCGAGGCGUCUGACAUUUGCCUUAACCUUGCAGCCUUGGAAGAUACGGUUACGGCGCAGAGUGCUGUCGCCUUAAGCAGGAAAGGUUGGGAAUAAUACAUACCCGGAGAGCCUGUUGUGAGGAUUAGAUGAAACAACAUAUUUACAAAUACCUCACUUGGAAACUUCGAAUGAUAGGAGCAUACAAUCUUUUGGGGCAGAUAAGACAGAAGAAACGCAUAGACAUACGAAGAACAGAAUUAGAAAACAUGCUGAGCUCAGCGAGAGAGAGAACAUUUUGGAUUGGGAAAGAAGAGGUGCCUGCACCUAAAACCAAUUAUGUCUUGAUGAGCGGAUAGUGUGCGAUAGAAGAUGGGGCUGCUCUUCAGGAAGGGGACCUGCCGAGAGAAGUGAGAAAGAGGGAAUAGGCAGGACUCUUUUUUAGAGCCGGACACUUAGUCACUAAACAAUCUUUGUUACAUAAAAUACUUAAAUCCGCUUGCUUGGGAGUUUUUCUUUCUUGGCUUCACUAAUGCUCUUGGUGAAACAUCUUUUUCCUUUUUCUUUCUUUUUUAAUCAAAUCUAAUGCUCAUGAAAUUUUGUAGAAUAAAAAAAAUUCUCCCUUUUUGAGAUAGAGGGUUUGUUUUGUUUUUGUAAACAAGAUAACAUAGGGAAGAGUGCUCUGCUGUUUUGGAAAGAGUGACUCAUUCAAUAAAUAUUUAUUGAGCCCCUAUUAGGUUCUUGGUACUACGGAUACAACAGUGAAUUGAACAAAGUUUCUGCUCUACAGAGCUGUGGGGUUCUCGUUGAGCCUGACAGAUGAUAAACCUGUCAAAUGAAGAUAAGUUCUCUGAAGAAAAAUAAAACCCAGUAAAGGGGACAGCAUUAGAGGAUGGGCUGCUCUUUUUAGUGCAGCAAUUGGGAUGUCUGAUAAACCUCAUGAGAGCAGAGACCUGAAUGAAGUGAAGGAGUGAGCCAUGCAGAUAUCCGUGAAAAGACUUCCAAACAGAGGAAGAGUUAGAUGGAAAGGAUAAACACAUAUAAUCAUUUAAUGUUAUAAAAUUAUGCCUCAGGUAAAUAAAUGUAGCAUACAUUUUAUUGUACAAAGGGUCCCAAUAUACUGUGACAUUUUGCAUAUAGAUUAUAAGUAUUAUUCUAUUAUAAAUUUAUCUUGGGAUAAUAAGAUGUGUAAUCAACAUUGAUCAAAUAUUUAACAAUAAUUUUUUUCUCUCUUGGACUCUAGGAUAGGGAAAACUUUUCAUCUACCCUCCUAGGUUAUAUACUGGGGGCUUGCAAAUUAAAUGUAAAAGACAAAUGAGCAACAAAAAGACAUUUGUGGGAGUUUACAGAAAAAUGUGACAGGAGGCAGUUAGACUUGGGGGCCUAUACAUCAUCUCAGUAGGGGAAGGCGGAAGAGGAGAAGAGCAUUUGCUGGAAACCACGACUUUAGGAGAGAUAAAUCAGCCCUUAAGAGAAUAGAUAGGAGAUGUGGUAGUUUUAUGCCAGUGUCUAUUUAGUUAUGAUAAUGAGUCGAUCUUCCCUGAUUGUGAAACUCCAGAGUUCCUUUGGGGCACGCUGCUUUUAAGACAGAUGAAGGAGUUUAGUAAAAAGCCUAUUUUUAAAUGACUGUGGCUCAAAAUAAUUUUUAUGUCACAGUGGUAUAGUCUGGACCCCUUUAGACUUUAGAAGAGCUUUCAGCAGAUUGAUUUGAGUGAGCUACACUUCUAAGAAAGUGAAGCAGGAAAGUUUGAACUGAUCCCUUUAUUCUCCUCCAAGUUCCCUUGAGGCCCACACAGACAUAGCCAGUUAUUCUGCUGACUUUGAAGCUGUGCUCACAGUUGGGAUCCACCUUUGAAAAAUGGCUCCUGAGUGUGUUAAGUAAGUAAUGGCUAGCCGAGGGCUUCAGUUGGGAGGACUGUGGAGAAGACUUUUCUCCCCUGGGGUCCUCAAAGGGGAAAGAAAUCACAAGGGGGCAGCAUAGGGAGUUGUUUGGAAAGGGUGAGAAGGCUGUGCUUAGUGUUGGGAUAUGUGGAUGGAUGUAAGCUGGGUUUUGUUUUGUUUAGUUUUUUAAACUUCAGCUGUUGGAAGUCCUCCUUCCCAUAGCUUCUCCAAAUCACCACUGAGCUGAUUCCCCAAGGCAUAAAGACAGCCCUGAAUUAACACAGUGGGGAAUGCUAAUUAAGUCAUGCCAAUAAAGAUUUAAUCGUGAAUCAGAAACACUUGGAAAAUUAUGUUUUCAUAUUGGAAAGAUGUUCUUUUUUUCUCUAUGAGUACCCCAAAGUGUUUUUGAAGGAUGAAAUGCGAUAGGUGGUAGGACAGAAAUAUUUGGUUGACUUGUCCAGUAUGCUAAUGAUGUUGGAACGGGGACUCCAGUCUUCUGAUAUUUCAUCUGGUUGGUCUUUUCCAUAAAUAAAUAUAUCCCAGAGCAAGUAGUUCUGGGGAUUGUUAUAAUAUCCUGGUUAAUAGCAUGGAGAAACUGGCUUGGGCAAUGUUAAGUAGGAGUUUCAGAGCUUUUAAUAUAUGAGUCCUGAGAGUUUGUAAAAGGACCCCAAACAGAAGAAUUUUGGGAAAUACCAAUCUAUACCAUGCUGGGUUGAUAGGACCAUCUAUAUUAUACAAGAAUCUUCACAGAUUUAAGUUUCUUCUUUUUAAACUGCCAUUAAGGGCAUGCGGGGAAGGUGAAAUUUUGUUUUAAUAUCCAUGUAUACCAUAUGGCUUAUUUUGGCAACUAAUAUAUGAAUUUGUUCUUGGCUGCUUUGAGUGUGAUUGAUUCAGCCCAAUAAGUAUUUUCUAAGCAGGUCACCACAUGUAGAGUUAUGAGGUAAGUGACAAAAGUCCUUCUGACCAAAUAUUAGUCCUGUAUGUUGUACUCCAAUGUGCUCGCAGGCAUCUCUGUUGCUCAAGAGUGGAUUGAAAUGGCUGCUACGUUGUGUGAGUCCAGAGGGCUUAAUCUGCAUGGUGUCAUAGCCAUUUGGGGGCUAAACCGACAAGUGUGAGGAUUGUAAACUGGCAGGGAGCUCAAAAUGAGCUGAUUGGUGAAACUUCAUGGUGAUCUCCUAGGAUGCAGCAGAGAACAAUACAGGCCCAGUCCUCACAUGCUUGGGACUUAAGGUGAAGGUUUGUGUUGGAGGCUAGGUGGGUUACGGACAAGCAGAGAACUGCCACAAGGUGCUGUCAGCACUGGGAUGGAGGUGAGCAAAGGAGGCUAGGAAAGCAUAAAGGAGGCGCGCCUGGUUCCAGCAGAGGGAGUAGGGAAGUGACAACUAAAACCAGACCUGAAGGUGAAGAGCAGAGAGGAAUGUUCCAGGCAGAACCAUAGGUGAGAGAAUUUGGCAUGUUGAAGAGAAAGCUCCCCUCACUGCCCCCCACCUCCGUAUUUUUGUUUCAUACUCUACAAGGAGCAACUGCACUAAAAAUGUACCUCAUGUUUUCUAUUUUACAAGUUACUGCCACAUGCAUGGCCUUAUUUCCUGUCUACAACAAACCUUUCAGGUGUCCCAGGUCACAAAGUCAGGAAAAGAGCCUGGGAACUGCCCCCACUCUUCCUAGAAUGUAAGGGGUGUUGGGCCAUGUUCCAAAUACCAGGUUCCCACUGAGAGUGGCUGAGGAUAAUGCUAAUCUGGGCAAAGUUUUAAGCAGGAAAUGAGUAUGUGGAGUAGGGAAGUGCGGAGAUCUUGCUAUGUAAGUCAGAGCUACUUUUCUCACUACUGGGUUGAAUUAAAACCAGUUUCUGGAAUCACAGUGUAAAACAAGAGGCAAAAUCCACCUUGAGGCACAUUGGUUUUUAUUCCUUAAAUGUUCCACAUAAAAAAUGAAAACUGAGUCAGUAGAACAGAAUCGUAAGACCAGAUGGCUUCCCAGGAUCAAUGGGGGCAAGCCAUUAACUAUCAUCUAGUUAAUAGAGGAAAUUGCAUUUUACAGUGGGAUGGGUUCUAGAGUUCGAGUGGAAGAUGAAACUUCAGUCAAAAUCAUCUUUAAAGUCCCAUAGGAAAGUACCACAUUGGAGAACAACAUGUAACACAACAGGUAUGUCUUUAAAUAGCAGAAGUGCACUCAAGAUACCCAUACUUUGAGAAGCACGUGGGGACUAAGACUUAGCAAGGGCCUGUGGUCACUGGGUGAAAUGGUGGCAGAAUUGCCCAUGCUGUUUAAAUUUCACUCUUGUCUUCUUUGUCUCCCUGGAAGUUCUAUAUACAACAGUUACAUUUGUGCAAGAUAAAUGCUUGUAUGAUGUGACUACACUGCACAUUCUUGAUGCUACUCAGAGUGCACAUAUGAGAAUCAUCUCAAUCAUGAUUCAUCACCUGCAACUUGGAGCACUUAUGCCCUGUGCCUUUCUACCGGGCUUAUAUUUGAAAUCUCAGAUUUCCCUGUCAAGGCUUGGUCUUACCGCUGCAGAUCUGUUUGGACCACUCUGAAAGAGUAUACUUUGAGGUGCCUUCCAAAGUGAAUUUGAUGUACACCAUGUAGCCUAUAAGGAAUUUUUACGAUUUUAUAGGUUCAGUCAGCUGUUGUAACAGACACUCAAAACAACAGUGGAUUAAACAAGAUGUUUUUCUGUCUUGUGGAAUAUUCUGGGUCAGCAGGCCAAGACUAGCAUGAUGGAUCCAUGAUGUUGGGACCCAGCCUCUUUAAUCCUGUUGCUCUGCCAUCUUGAAGGUGUUGCCCUUGCCCAUCUGGUUGCAGAUGGCUUCUACUACCACAUCCAUGUUUCAGCUAGUGGGCACAGGGGAGAGAUGGGGCAGAGUGUCUUCCCCCUUCAAAAUCAGGAAAUUGCAUACCUGACUAUUGCUCACAAUCCACUGGGGAGAUCUAACAUGCAGGCCACAUUUACUUGCAAGAAGGGCUGAAAAUGUAGACUCUAUGUUGAGAGGCAUAUAGCCCCCUGAAAAUGAGUGGUUCUGUUACCUUAAAGAAGAGAAGGAACACUAGAAAUAUGUGCCAUGGUCCACCUCUUUGGCCAUGAAGACAGCCAUGCCCAUUGUUCUUCCUGCCCAUUGAAACACAGCACUCCUUUCCAGUGGAGGCACCCCAGAUUCCUUCCAGUUACCAGUCAGUACUCAGUGUUCAUAGUUCUCUCCAUCAAGCCCAUGUGUGGCUACUUGUGUAAAGUUAAAGACAAAUUAUCAGGCCCCCUGU
Long non-coding RNA from Gorilla gorilla gorilla (western lowland gorilla), 5437 nucleotides. RefSeq lists it as uncharacterized. NCBI's taxonomy places the organism in Eukaryota, Metazoa, Chordata, Mammalia, Primates, Hominidae. The transcript has 3 exons. The record is from RefSeq and is a predicted model, not a curated record.